Molecule: ribosomal RNA, 425 nt
Filed under: uncultured bacterium
Lineage: Bacteria
Description: SSU rRNA
Rfam family: Bacterial small subunit ribosomal RNA
Source: RNAcentral
CAAUGGGGGAAACCCUGAUGCAGCGACGCCGCGUGGAGGAAGAAGGUCUUCGGCAANANAAACUCCUGNAUGNUGGGGAAGAUAAUGACGGUACCCAACAUUNCAAGUGACGGCUAACUACGUGCCAGCAGCCGCGGUAAAACGUAGGUCACAAGCGUUGUCCGGAAUUACUGGGUGUAAAGGGAGCGCAGGCGGGAGAACAAGUUGGAAGUGAAAUCCAUGGGCUCAACCCAUGAACUGCUUUCAAAACUGUUUUUCUUGAGUAGUGCAGAGGUAGGCGGAAUUCCCGGUGUAGCGGUGGAAUGCGUAGAUAUCGGGAGGAACACCAGUGGCGAAGGCGGCCUACUGGGCACCAACUGACGCUGAGGCUCGAAAGUGUGGGUAGCAAACAGGAUUAGAUACCCUGGUAGUCCAAGGGCGAAUUC